This 408-nucleotide ribosomal RNA is filed under the name uncultured bacterium. RNAcentral describes it as "bacterial SSU rRNA". It matches the Rfam family "Bacterial small subunit ribosomal RNA", at positions 355 to 762 of the family's 1533-position model. The record is from RNAcentral.
UAAGGAAUAUUGCUCAAUGGGAGAAAUCCUGAAGCAGCAACGCCGCGUGGAGGAUGAAGGGUCUAUGACUUGUAAACUCCUGUAAAGAAGGAAAAAAUUCCCAUUAGAUGGGAGAUGAUGGUACUUCUGGAGUAAGCCCCGGCUAACUACGUGCCAGCAGCCGCGGUAAUACGUAGGGGGCAAGCGUUGUCCGGAUUUACUGGGUGUAAAGGGUGCUCAGGCGGAUUUGUAAGUCAGAGGUGAAAUCUUACAGCUUAACUGUGAAACUGCCUUUGAUACUGCAAGCCUAGAGUAUGGAAGAGAGCGAUGGAAUAUCUGGUGUAGCAGUGAAAUGCGUAGAUAUCAGAUAGAACACCAAUGGCGAAGGCAGUCACUUGGUCCAUUACUGACGCUAAAGCACGAAAGCGU